RNAcentral lists this small nucleolar RNA (123 nucleotides) under Echinops telfairi (small Madagascar hedgehog). Its description in RNAcentral is "Small nucleolar RNA SNORA61 (ENSETEG00000024856.1)". Lineage: Eukaryota; Metazoa; Chordata; Mammalia; Afrosoricida; Tenrecidae. The record is from RNAcentral.
GCCCUCCAAAUUCCUUACCUCUCAGAUCUAAAUAUUUGUCUGAGUGGCUAAAAAAAAGGAGGAAAAGUAAAACUGAAAUAGAUUUGGAGUCUUUGGUGACAAACAGUUUCAUUUUGACCAUAG